CCAAGUUCAGCUGUAUGCGGUCACCCUGAGAUUCCUUCCUACUUGAUUAUUUCUCACAGACUUAACCAAGAAAAUAUCGUUCUGGAAGAUUGCUAGGCAGGCUUUUCCAUUGCAUUGCAGGACAACUCAGAUAAUGCAGGUCCAGUCCUCUGAGUCAUCCAGUGUGGGCUGGAGGUUUGGAACCUGGAAAUGUCUGAUCUAGGCAAGUAAUAAGCUGACGUCAAAAGACUUGGUGCACAGGUCUAUUGAAGCACCUAAGAGGAAAGACACUUCUUCAAACCUCAAAUGCUCUUUACAUCCAGCAAAUCUGGACUGGAAGUCGUUCAAUAAGAUGACUUCCCAUGAAAUGUCUGGUACUUCAUGUUUCCCGUCAGGUCAUAAAUGCCACGAGAACAGCUUUUCCUCCUCCAUUUAAAUUUGUCCAGUGCCAGUUUUGGUCUUGUCCCAAAGCCAAAAACUUUGGAGACAUUGACAGAAAAGAAAGUAAUUAACCAUAUUGGAAGAGCCCAGAGAGUUCUGUGUAGAUUCUGCUGUAGAUGCUGAGUGUACUUUGUCUACUUAUUGAAAAAAGAAAAAAAAGUGAACUGUAAAACAGCCUCAAGCAGGUCCUUCAGGAGGUAUCCAGAAGAAGGCAUUGUCAUAGGAGAUGACAGCUCCAUGCGUGUUAUUGCUCCUGAAGACCUUCCAGGAGUAGGUGCAGAGGAAUCCAAGGUGUAGGGAAUGAAAGAGCCACAAGAUGUAAGAAACCUCAGUUCCUCAAUGUAGACAUGGAAGAAAGCUUCCGGGAGCAGGCUCACUGGAUUUGGUCACAUAAUGAUCACAGAAUAAACUCUUGUGAGUUCGACUCUUUACAUCAACAAUAACUUGGCGCCCAAACACAUGGGACCUCAGAGAAGAUGCAGGACUCCGAAGGAGUUGCCCAAACUUGGAGCUAAGGUACCAGCGGGGCCCAUUAAAGCCUGUCCAACUUAGAGCUUCUCCUCUGGUGGAACUGGAAACCAAAAUCAUGGUAUUCUGAAGAUCAGAGAUAUGAAUCUCCCUCAUUUGGCAUCCCCUGGCCCUGGAUCUGUUUCACUGCUAAUAUCCUGCAGCCAAAACUAUACAAGCUGCCUCACUCUAGGCCCAGGUACUAUCGUGGAAGAGGUGGGUGCAUAAAAUUGUAAGAGCCAUUUUGAAGGAUAAAAUUAGGUCAAGAUCAAACCCUCCAAAUCCAAAAGAUGGUAAAAAAUGCCUAAACAGCUGGUAAAACAAGUUUAGUUGCCUUCUAAAUUAUUAUGUGUCACUUUUGCAUCCACCCCAACCAUAAACAUUUUCUGCUUACUAUAAAAUUAAAGGAAAAUAUUUCCUAACAGGAUAAAAUACCUUGUAACAAAGCCUCCUGGGUAUAAUACUCCCAAUUAUGAGUUGUGGAGA
Molecule: long non-coding RNA, 1413 nt
Filed under: Homo sapiens (human)
Lineage: Eukaryota; Metazoa; Chordata; Mammalia; Primates; Hominidae
Description: HSALNT0087739
Source: RNAcentral